This 253-nucleotide ribosomal RNA is filed under the name uncultured bacterium. RNAcentral's name for it is "partial 16S ribosomal RNA". It matches the Rfam family "Bacterial small subunit ribosomal RNA", at positions 524 to 776 of the family's 1533-position model. The record is from RNAcentral.
UACGGAGGGGGCGAGCGUUGUCCGAAGUUACUGGGCGUAAAGCGCGCGUAGGCGGGUUGGUAAGUCCGCUGUGAAAGCCCGGAGCUCAACUCCGGAGGGUCGGUGGAUACUGCCAGUCUUGAAGGUGCUAGGGGGAGAUGGAAUUACCGGUGUAGCGGUGAAAUGCGUAGAUAUCGGGAGGAACACCGGUGGCGAAGGCGGUUCUCUGGGCCUGUACUGACGCUGAGGAGCGAAAGCGUGGGGAGCGAACAGG